GCGUGCGCGAUGACGGCCUUCGGGUUGUAAAGCGCUUUUAGGAGAGAUGAGAAAGGACAGUAUCUCCAGAAUAAGCCUCGGCGAACUACGUGCCAGCAGCCGCGGUAAAACGUAGGAGGCAAGCGUUAUCCGGAUUUAUUGGGCGUAAAGCGUGUGCAGGCGGUCUAGCAAGUUGGAUGUGAAAGCUCCCGGCUUAACUGGGAGAGGUCGUUCAAUACUGUUAGACUAGAGAAUGGAAGAGGGAGGUGGAAUUCCGGGUGUAGUGGUGAAAUGCGU
This 276-nucleotide ribosomal RNA is filed under the name uncultured bacterium. RNAcentral describes it as "partial 16S ribosomal RNA". It matches the Rfam family "Bacterial small subunit ribosomal RNA", at positions 399 to 691 of the family's 1533-position model. The record is from RNAcentral.